RNAcentral lists this ribosomal RNA (767 nucleotides) under uncultured bacterium. RNAcentral describes it as "bacterial SSU rRNA". It matches the Rfam family "Bacterial small subunit ribosomal RNA", at positions 28 to 774 of the family's 1533-position model. The record is from RNAcentral.
GACUAACGCUGGCGGCGUGCCUAACACAUGCAAGUCGAACGAGUUGUUUAUAGUAGCAAUAUUGUGAACAGCAAGUGGCGAACGGGUGAGUAACACGUAGAUAAUCUGCCUUUCAGACGGGGACAACUCAGGGAAACUUGUGCUAAUACCCGAUGAGACUACGGGAGGGGACUUUCGUAGCCAAAGGUGGGGGCAACCUCACGCUGAAAGAUGAGUCUGCGUCCUAUCAGCUGGUUGGUGGGGUAAAAGCCUACCAAGGCGAAGACGGGUAGCCGGCCUGAGAGGGUGAACGGCCACACUGGGACUGAGACACGGCCCAGACUCCUACGGGAGGCAGCAGUGAGGAAUUUUCCGCAAUGGGCGCAAGCCUGACGGAGCGACGCCGCGUGAGGGAUGACGGCCUUCGGGUUGUAAACCUCUUUUAUUAGGGAAAAAGGCAUAUGUGCUAAUACCACGUAUGUUUGAUGGUACCUGUUGAAUAAGCCCCGGCUAACUACGUGCCAGCAGCCGCGGUAAUACGUAGGGGGCGAGCGUUGUCCGGAGUUACUGGGCGUAAAGAGCGUGUAGGCGGUUGGAAAAGUCAGGUGUGAAAUUCUUCGGCUCAACCGGGGGACUGCGCCUGAAACUUUCCGACUGGAGUUCGGGAGGGGCAACCGGAAUUCCUGGUGUAACGGUGAAAUGUGUAGAUAUCACGAGGAACACCCGUGGCGAAUGCGGGUUGCUGGACCGAAACUGACGCUGAGACGCGAAAGCGUGGGUAGCAAACA